AGCAAUUCUCCUGCCUCAGCUUCCCAAGUAUCUGGGACUACAGGGUUUUUACCUUAAAUAACUAAUUACUGGCCAUAUUUGGGAAGUGUUGAAAAAAAGCAGACAAUCUGAGGAUGAUGUUGACUUGGGGAUCCAAAGGCACAGUACACAUCUUUGUAAUGUUCUGUGAUGAAAUAGAAGGAAGUGUGUGUAAAUAAUUCUGCUGCACGCUGAACACAAAGGGUGCUUCAAGGAGAAGCUUUAUGUUUAUCACCUUGU
RNAcentral lists this long non-coding RNA (258 nucleotides) under Homo sapiens (human). RNAcentral's name for it is "HSALNT0356576". Lineage: Eukaryota; Metazoa; Chordata; Mammalia; Primates; Hominidae. The record is from RNAcentral.